GUUCUGGUGCCAGCAGCCGCGGUAAUUCCAGCUCCAGUAGCGUAUAUUAAAGUUGCUGCAGUUAAAAAGCUCGUAGUUGAAUUUCUGUUUGUAAGAGUCGAAGCUUUACAGCUAAGAUUUCUUCGAACAUCUGUUUGCAAGCAUACGUUCGGCCUUCACUGGUUGGCUAUGUAAGCAAGCGCUUUACCUUGAGAAAAUUAGAGUGUUCCAGGCAGGCUUCAGCCGGAAUACAUUAGCAUGGAAUAAUGGAAUAGGACUGGGGACUAUUUAUUGGUUUGAGGCUCCAGUAAUGAUUAAUAGGAACAGUCGGGGGCAUUGGUACUUAACAGUCAGAGGUGAAAUUCUUGAAUUUGUUAAAGACUAACUAAUGCGAAAGCAUUUGCCAAGCAUGUUUUCAUUAAUCAAGAACGAAAGUUAGGGGAUCAAAGACGAUUAGAUACCGUCCUAGUCUUAACUGUAAACGAUUCCAUCUUAGAAUUGGGUGAAUAUUUGAUGAUUCAUCCAGCGCUAUAAGAGAAAUCAAAGUCUUUGGGUUCUUGGUGGAGUACGAUCGCAAGAUUGAAACUUAUAGGAAUUGACGGUUUUGCACACCAUGGAGUGGAGCCUGUGGCUUAAUUUGACUCAACACUGGGAAACUCAUCAGGACAACAAAGUUUUAGGAUUGACAGAUUGAUAGCUCUUUCUUGAUUGACUUAAUGGUGGUGCAUGGCCGUUCUUAGUUGGUGGAGUGAUUUGUCUGGUUAAUUCCGUUAACGAACGAGACCUUAACCUACUAACUAGUACGACGUGACGAACGUUAGUUACUUCUUAGAGGGACAAUGUGUAUUUUUAACACAAGGAAGUUUAAGGCAAUAACAGGUCUGUGAUGCCCUAAGAUGUCCUGAGCCGCACACGCGCUACAAUGACACUUUCAAUAAGUUUUUGCUGGUCCGACAGGAUUUCGGCUAAUCUUUUUAGUAAGUGUCGUGCUAGGGAUAGAUCUUUGCAAUUGUGGAUCUUGAACGAGGAAUUCCUAGUAAGCACAAGUCAUCAGCUUGUGCUGAUUACGUCCCUGCAAAAUGUACACAUCGCCCGUCGCUUGCUCCGAUUGAGUAAUCUGGUGAGCCUUCUUGACUGAGUAAGUAAUUACGAAGAAAAUUAAGCAAACCAUAUUACUUAGAGGAUGAAGAAGUCGUAACAAAGUUUCCGUAGGUGAACCUGCGGAAG
Molecule: ribosomal RNA, 1206 nt
Filed under: metagenome
Description: SSU rRNA
Rfam family: Eukaryotic small subunit ribosomal RNA
Source: RNAcentral